Cyprinus carpio carpio is the source of this 1426-nucleotide long non-coding RNA. The record is from Ensembl. NCBI's taxonomy places the organism in Eukaryota, Metazoa, Chordata, Actinopteri, Cypriniformes, Cyprinidae.
CAUUAAGGAAGCAAGGGAGGACAAUGCAACCAAACACUCAGCUGAUAAUGGGAAACGCUGAGCAAGGAACAGCAACUCCAAAAUCAGACAUCAGAAGACUAUAGAGAACGGUUCAGACUGCUGAAAGGAUUAUUGGUGCUCCCCUGCCCACCCUCCAAGAACUGUAUACAUCCAGAGUGAGGAAAAGGGCUCUGGAUCCCUCACAUUCAAGCCAAUCUCCUUUUUGAACUUUUGCCAUCUGGUCAACGCUACAGAGCACUGAAUACCAGGAAAGUCAGGCACAAGAACAGUUUCUUUCCCCAGGCAAUCUACCUCAUGAACAGUUAAAUGUUCUCCCAUUGUGCAAUAAAAGAGCUGGCUCAAGCCCUGCUGUGUUACGCUCAUUUAAAGAGCACAGUGACCCUGGAACUCACAUGGAACAUGGCCCCAUUCAGUGUAAUACAAAACACCCCAACACAAUAUGGUCACCAGAAGAAAAAACAAACCACUGCCUGAACCAACUAUAUAAACAGCCAAUGCUUCAUCAGUAACUGAAAAUCUUCCAGGAAGCUUUUCCUGGAAAAGGAGACCUUGUCCAUGGUUCUCCAGGGGAUGUUGCCCUAAUUUUGGAUGAAAAUAGUGAUCAUUAUCCAGAGACAUCAGAUGCAUGGCAAAAAUCAGUCUGAGCCCUGGGCUGAAUUAAUCCAAAACAAAGCUUUCUUUGGCUUGUAUAAUAAUUUUGUUACUGAAGUUUUGUUUACAUUGUUCACGAGCAGCUGAAGGUUGUCAACUGAUGUGGUGAGAAUGAGAGAGCGUUUUGACCUAGAUUGUGGCGUGCAGUGAACGUUGUGUUGAGAAGCCAAGGACUUUGAAAUCUUUGAGUACAUGGAGUCUGUAGAAAAAUGAUGUCAGAAGGAUUUAUGGUAAGUGUUGGCCCUGCUUGUCCACAUCAUUGUGUGUGUAUUAAUUGCCCAAGCUUGACUCUCAGAAUUGCAAACGGUUCAUUUUGCCUAUUGUAGUCUAGCAGCAGCCCAGAUGAAUUGACUUAGAGCAUGUGUUUGAAGGCAGAUCAAGUUUUUGGACAAAUGUGAUUUUGACUCUUGCAAGCUGAAGCACAGAUGGUACAGGAUUGAAAAGUGAGUACAUUGUUUGAAGUUCAAGCACAUGUACCAUGUGACUGACUACAGGCAUGUGAGUGUCAGUGCACAUUGGAUGUGCAUUAGGGUUUCCUGGGAUCAGGAGAUUUCAAGAGGAAGGAGGAGGCAUAUGUAGACAGUUACACUGACCUGGUUCCUGUUUAACCAGGAAGAUGUUUUUAUAAGAUUUGUAUAAAUUAUUUAAAGUUAUGACUUAUUGACGUGUUGCAGAGGAAAACAAUCCAGGAUGUAGCUUUUAAAUAAGACGUUAAAAAUGCAAGUGGUGUAAUUUUUCUACUUCACUCUUUCUG